Long non-coding RNA from Ahaetulla prasina, 1291 nucleotides. RefSeq lists it as uncharacterized. The record is from RefSeq and is a predicted model, not a curated record. Lineage: Eukaryota; Metazoa; Chordata; Lepidosauria; Squamata; Colubridae. The transcript has 2 exons.
UCCAUUUUAUUCCUAAAAUAAUUUUGUGAACAAGAGAAAAAUUAAGGGUUACACCCUUAGUAGUAAAUCUGAUAAUAAAACUAAAUAAUGGACAAGAGGCUAUACAUUUAUGAAAGGUCAGGCCAAGUUUCCUGAUUUCUUGAAGUGAUAUAUCUUUCUUUUCAGAUAUAGAGUAAAAUACAUUAUUAUAUUUCUAGCCACUAAACCAGAACAACAAAUAGUUCUGUUCCAAAGAUAGUUUUGACCUUGGGCUUUCUUUCUGCUAAAAAUAAAAAAGUAACACAAGAAAAAGGAGGGUUCUUGCUUGAUAUAUAUUGCUUCAGUGUCGGCUGUUUUGGACAUAGCAGAUUUUAGUUUGUAGUUAUCUCUUUCUCUCUCUUUCUAUCUGAAAAGUGGUCUGGUCCCAAAUUGAUUCCAGAAAUAUUGCAAGAGGGGAAAAAAAGAAGAAGAGCAAUAUUGUUUCCAUCUCUUCAAAUCAGGAGGAGAGGGAUUUGUAUUGGAUGACACAGAAGACUUCUGGGGGUGUAGUGAGUGCAAGACUGUCUUCCACAAUAGUUGUCAGGCAAAUGUCAGUUUCUGCCCUCGUUGUGUCCGUCGGCAGAAAUAUCACCAGCAACUGCAAGAAUUCCUUUGGAAAUGAUCUCAACUGUGCCAGUCCUUUGGAUAAGAUUCUGGAAUUCUCCAGAAGGCAAUUGGAAGUCAAAAGCUUAGGAGCAAUGGAAAAACACUACCAGCUGCACACCUUCUGUCUGGAUUAGAGUCCUACAACAACCAGUGCACCUUGCCAUCAGCUCUGGGAAAGGAAGCUACAGAGAUACUUCCUUGAAUUCAUCCAUUAUUGCCAUUAAUCUUCAUUUAUCCUUGCCUUCCCAAGCAAAUUCAUCCUUAUCCUGAUAUUGAAUACUGGAUAUUAAAAGGAUAUGUAGCAAGAACUCCUAAGAAGACUGAUUUUAGUGGAUGUCUCUUGAUUUAAAUCACUGGAGAAAGGAAAUAUUGUUUUACUUUUAACAAAUGCACUUUCCAGCAGAUUUCUUGUGCCUUCUACACUUUACACACUGCUGUUAAAAUGUCUUGUGCCAAAAUAGCUGCUGAAUUCUUUAGAAAGGCAUGCCAUCCUUGGUAUCCUCCUCAAGCAAAGUGACCUUCUUAUAAAUAAGCUAUUAUUAUUCUCCAUUUUUUAAAAAAAAAUGCUCAGUCAGCAUAUUUCAAACUUGAUUUUAAUAUUUUCUUUUAUUCUCCUAUGCAGAUAAUUAACUUUAUUGAAUAAAUAACAGAUGUUAUGAAUCCGUUA